AUGACCUGGGUCAGCUGUGAAGAUCUCACUGCAUUACAGAGAGAAGAGUUCAGUCCAGAAGGCAGCUCUGUUACUCUCUCCUACAGAUACACCAAAACUAUAACGGCUAGUGAAGAUUUCUUCUGGUAUCGACAAUAUCCAGGAAAACCACCAGAGUUUCUUCUCUACAUCUCAGGAACAAGUUUUACAAGUCUAGCAGAGUCUCUGAAAUCAGACACAAAGUUGUCUUCUAAACUGUCUGCAGGGAAGAACAUAGAUUUGAUCAUCUCCUCUGCUGCAGUGACAGACUCUGCUGUGUUCUACUGUGCUGUGAGGCCCACAGUGACAGGAAACACCAACACUCUGUACAAAAACACCAGCUGA
Molecule: non-coding RNA, 363 nt
Organism: Gymnodraco acuticeps
Lineage: Eukaryota; Metazoa; Chordata; Actinopteri; Perciformes; Bathydraconidae
Source: the annotation of a RefSeq genome assembly